This 497-nucleotide ribosomal RNA is filed under the name uncultured bacterium. Its description in RNAcentral is "partial 16S ribosomal RNA". It matches the Rfam family "Bacterial small subunit ribosomal RNA", at positions 28 to 507 of the family's 1533-position model. The record is from RNAcentral.
GACGAACGCUGGCGGCGUGCCUAAUACAUGCAAGUCGAACGAUUCUUUCCGCCCGAGGCCUCGCUCACAAUUGGGACGGGGAGGUGCGGAACGGGGAGUAACCCUUCCUAAAACAACGGAAUAACUGGGGGAAACAGGUGCUAACACGGGAUAAUACCUCGAAACAGUUGGUGCCAUAGGGCAUGAGAGUUUUAGGCUCACUUGGGUGUGGAUCCGGGACGCAUUAGCGGGUUGGUAAGGUAACGGCUUACCAAGGGCACGAUGCGUAGCCGACCUGAAAGGGUGAUCGGCCACACUGGAACUGAGACACGGCCCAGACUCCUACGGGAGGCAGCAGUAGGGAAUCUUCGGCAAUGGGCGAAAGUCUGACGGAGCAACGCCGCGUGAGUGAUGAAGGUUUUCGGAUCGUAAAACUCUGUUGUUAGGGAAGAACAAAUGCGUUAGUAACUGAGCGUGUCUUGACGGUACCUAAUCAGAAAGCCACGGCUAACUACGUG